UAGCAAUAGUAACGUAGCGGACGGGUGCGUAACGCGUAUGGAACCUACCUAUAAGAGGAGGAUAUACUAUGGAAACGUAGGGUAAUACUCCAUAAUUUUAUUUAUUUGCAUGAAUAGAUAAAAAAAGGCUUUGAGUCGCUUAUAGAUGGUCAUGCGUCCCAUUAGCUAGUUGGUAGAGGUAACGGCCUACCAAGGCGACGAUGGGUAACUGGUCUGAGAGGAUGAUCAGUCACACUGGAACUGAGACACGGUCCAGACUCCUACGGGAGGCAGCAGUAGGGAAUAUUGGGCAAUGGGCGCAAGCCUGACCCAGCCAUUCCGCGUGCAGGAAGAAGGUUCUCUGAAUUUGUAAACUGCUUUUAGUAUCUGAGUAAGUAUUUAUAUGGGCUAUAGAUAUUGAAAGUAAGAUAAGAAUAAGCACCGGCUAACUACGUGCCAGCAGCCGCGGUAAUACGUAGGGUGCAAGCGUUGUCCGGAAUUACUGGGGUUUAAAGGGUGCGUAGGCGGGUCAAUAAGUGUAAUGUUAAAAAGUAUCAGCUUAACUGAUAGCAGGCGUUACAUACUGUUGGUCUAGAAUGUUUGUGAGGCUACUGGAGCGACUGGAGUAGAGGUGAAAUUCGUAGAUAUCAGUCAGAACACCGAUUGCGUACGCAGGUAGCUAACAAAAGAUUGACGCUGAGCACGAAGCGGUGGGGAUCAAACAGGAUUAGAUACCCUGGUAGUCCACGCUGUAAACGUUGUUUACUAGA
Molecule: ribosomal RNA, 749 nt
Filed under: uncultured bacterium
Lineage: Bacteria
Description: bacterial SSU rRNA
Rfam family: Bacterial small subunit ribosomal RNA
Source: RNAcentral